This 946-nucleotide ribosomal RNA is filed under the name Preussia splendens. RNAcentral describes it as "mitochondrial SSU rRNA". It matches the Rfam family "Bacterial small subunit ribosomal RNA", at positions 356 to 1200 of the family's 1533-position model. The record is from RNAcentral. Lineage: Eukaryota; Fungi; Ascomycota; Dothideomycetes; Pleosporales; Sporormiaceae.
GAGGAAUAUUGGUCAAUGGCCUAACGGCUGAACCAGCAACUUGCAGGAAUGAGAGUUAAUAUAAAUGAUUUAUUAACUUGCUUGACUAGGUCUUAUAAAGUUCUGGAUAAAGCUGAUAAUGACAACUUUAUAUCCAUAGGUCUCGACUAAAUCUUGUGCCAGCAGUCGCGGUAAGACAAGGGAGACAAGUGUUAUUCAUCUUGAACAGGUAUAUUGGGUACCUAGACUGUGAAUUAAGGCUGUAACAGUACCUUAUACACUAGAGUUUAAUAUGUGAGAGGUAGAUGUCAGAAUUAUUAGAGGAGAGAUGAAAUCCUUUUAUACUAAUAGGACUGAUAAUGGCGAAGGCAAACCUUUAUGUAUAUCUACUUUUUUAGAAUUACCUUUAUGAAAAUAGAAGUAAUAUAAAGAUAAAAAAGUACUAAACUGACGUUGAGGGACGAAGGCUCAGGGAGUGAAGAGGAUUAGAUACCCCCGUAGCCUGGGCAGACAAUGAUGAGUGCCAUAGGUUGGCUUUUAGUUGAACUAUAAAUGAAAGUGGAAGCACUCCACCUCAAGAGUAAUGUGGCAACGCAGGAACUGAAAUCAUUAGACCGUUUCUGAAACCAGUAGUGAAGUAUGUUAUUUAAUUCGAUGAUCCGCGAAUAACCUUACCACAAUUUGAAUGAUCUAGAUUUUAUAUAGUUAAUGCAUAUGUUAAGAUAUGGCUAAUGCAUUAUAUGAUUUAGCCAUUGAUAGUUAGAUUCUUUUUUGAAUAUAUAGAUAAGCAUAGCAUAGAAUUAUAUUGUUUAGACCACAUGCGUUGCAUGGCUGUCUUCAGUUAAUGUCGUGAGAUUUGGUUAGGUCCAUUAAAUUAACGUAAACCCUUGUUUUAUUUAAUACAAUAAGGCAGCUCUCCGCGUACAACUGGAUUUGAUAACAGGGACUAAGACAAGUCAUCAUGGCC